Long non-coding RNA from Syngnathoides biaculeatus (alligator pipefish), 494 nucleotides. RefSeq lists it as uncharacterized. The record is from RefSeq and is a predicted model, not a curated record. The transcript is spliced from 3 exons. Lineage: Eukaryota; Metazoa; Chordata; Actinopteri; Syngnathiformes; Syngnathidae.
CGGCAUAGUGACAAACACCCAAUAAUCUCCAGAAUGUUCUUUGGAAGAGAUACGAACUGUAGGGGAGGAAUUUUCUUAUUUUUCUCAUGUUCGAAAAACCUCCCAUGCAGGUGUAAUUCACCCACAUAUGUUCGAACCGCUGUGACGGUCUGAGCGUCGAAUGCAACACAAGGAAGUGAUUCGGCGAAGUUGACAUGGAACUUCACACCCAAUACACAGACUGGAUGAUACAACAGUGAAAUGUCUCAUCAGUUAACAACCUUUGUGGAGAUGGAUACAAGAGCUACAAACAGGAUUCAGACACCCCAAAUGCAUCAACAGAAUAUCAGAAUUGGUGCCAUUGAAGGAGGCAAUGUGGAGAGAAAGAAAAAGGGAAGAGGAGGUAGAGAGGCUAUCUGCAGAUGAAAAUUGAUUUAUUGUGGCUCUGAUGAGGAGCGGCAAGCCAGGAGACAGCGGGUGUCCUCCAGGCCCUUAUUGCACCACUAUAAAUGAAA